AUUAACCGUGGUCUACGACGGGCCUCCCAAGCAUAAUUUUGAAUGUUUCCUUGAUGCUUUUGGAUCAUAAAUCCAAUUCUAAGCACUCCAUAAUUAAUGUUCGAGUAUGAUAAGUGAAUGCGAAUAGGUUAAAUCAAGAAUUGAAUGUAAGUACGUAUGUGUAGACAUGAUUAUGUAAGCAUUUAGUAAUGUAUAUAGAUAAGUAGAUGUGUAGAUAUGUAGGUGCGUAUGAUUAGACGUAUGAAUAUACGAAUGCACGAAGUAGGAUUUAUCGCCUAUGAAAAGAAUGGGACAGGUAUGCAUGUAUACAUGGUUUCAAUACGUUUGAGUAUGGACGUUACUAAUGAUGUGCUUGAGAUUGGAAUGUAAUGCAGGGAUGAGAACGUCAGACUCUUGUAGAAUUGAAGCCGAACCUGGAAGCCGAACUCGAAACAAAGGAAUCCGAGAGGAUAGUCGAAUGAAUUAAAGUUUAUGUACUACACGGAUUUCUUCUACCACUAUCGAAGAUAAGCGGGCAUAGAUCGAGUCGAAUAACAAGGAUUGUACGGAAAGAACGGUUACGUAAUCUUAAUUUUGUAACACAUUAAUUUGUAAAAAGGGAAGUGAAUUUUGUAAGCUUCUUGAAUGUGUGUAUUAUUUUAAGAUCGUAAAGGAAUUUUUAAAGCUAUU
Helianthus annuus (common sunflower) is the source of this 669-nucleotide long non-coding RNA. RefSeq lists it as uncharacterized. The transcript has 2 exons. NCBI's taxonomy places the organism in Eukaryota, Viridiplantae, Streptophyta, Magnoliopsida, Asterales, Asteraceae. The record is from RefSeq and is a predicted model, not a curated record.